UGCGCAGCAGGCGCGAAACCUUCGCAAUGCACGAAAGUGCGACGAGGCUACUCCGAGUGCCAUCCGCUGAGGAUGGCUUUUGCCAGGUCUAAACCGCCUGGAGAAUAAGGGGAGGGCAAGUCUGGUGUCAGCCGCCGCGGUAAUACCAGCUCCUCGAGUGGUUGGGACGAUUAUUGGGCCUAAAGCAUCCGUAGCCGGUUCUGUAGGUCUCCUGUCAAAUUCAACGGCUCAACCGUUGAGCUGCAGGAGAUACCGCAGGGCUAGGAGGCGGGAGAGGUGGACGGUACUCUAUGGGUAGGGGUAAAAUCUUCUGAUCCUGGGAAGACCACCAGUGGCGAAGGCGUGCGGCCAAAACGCGCUCGACGGUGAGGGGCGAAAGCUGGGGGAGCGAUCCGGAUUAGAUACCCGGGUAGUCC
RNAcentral lists this ribosomal RNA (416 nucleotides) under uncultured crenarchaeote. RNAcentral describes it as "partial 16S ribosomal RNA". It matches the Rfam family "Archaeal small subunit ribosomal RNA", at positions 329 to 747 of the family's 1478-position model. Lineage: Archaea; Thermoproteati; Thermoproteota. The record is from RNAcentral.